CGGAACGUAGCGCAGAGGGAGCGCGCCUGCUCGGGGUGCAGGAGGUCGCAGGUUCAAGUCCUGCCGUUCCGAC
Molecule: transfer RNA, 73 nt
Filed under: Paraplanobispora siamensis
Lineage: Bacteria; Bacillati; Actinomycetota; Actinomycetes; Streptosporangiales; Streptosporangiaceae
Description: Planobispora siamensis tRNA-Pro
Rfam family: tRNA
About the family: Transfer RNA (tRNA) molecules are approximately 80 nucleotides in length. Their secondary structure includes four short double-helical elements and three loops (D, anti-codon, and T loops).
Source: RNAcentral